Molecule: microRNA, 21 nt
Filed under: Zea mays
Lineage: Eukaryota; Viridiplantae; Streptophyta; Magnoliopsida; Poales; Poaceae
Description: microRNA miR-3212
Source: RNAcentral
CUGAAAGGCACGUGAAUUGGG